Long non-coding RNA from Lycium barbarum (goji berry), 6358 nucleotides. RefSeq lists it as uncharacterized. Lineage: Eukaryota; Viridiplantae; Streptophyta; Magnoliopsida; Solanales; Solanaceae. The record is from RefSeq and is a predicted model, not a curated record. The transcript has 4 exons.
CCUCUACACAUCCUUCUCUUCUCAUUUCUUUGAGAAAAUAGAUUUCUCCACUUCUGAUACUCAAUUCUUUCUAAAAGCUCAUCCAUCUUAGGCCCCCAUGACCAGUGACCACCCUUUCUCUGAGCACUGAUUAUCUUUCAAUGAGCAGCAUCGUUCUCAGUGCUUGCUCCUCUGAAUCCUCUAGAUCAUAAUAAUUUUUUAUAUCUUUGAGGUCUUGGUCUUGCAACUCUGAUGACUUAUCCUUCUCUCUUUCAGUUAGUUCAUCCCUAAAUUUCAACUUACCCUUUUCUCUUGUGAAAUUAAGCUGUUUUCAACUUACCCUAAAUUUCAACUUACUUUUGCAGUAGCUGUUUUGCACCAAUAGGCUCUUGUGUCUUUACUUUUCCCCUUUUUAUAAGCUUUUGAUGCUGAUUUCUCUGUUGAUUCAGUGUGACGGACUAAAGCAGAUUUGAUGAUUUUUGCGUUUUAUCUAGAACCUCUUUUACUGGCCGUCAUGGCUUUGUUUAGUUCUUCUUCAGCCUUUCUCUUGCGUACUCUGGUGUUUGGUUUCUCGUAACCUACUGAGGGACCCUUGCGUUCCAUCCCUUCAUCAUCAGGUCUUAGAACUGGCUCACCUGAUGCCUUUCUAAGUUUGGAUCUGACCUUUUUUCCUACAAAUUUUUGAUGAGCACAUCACUUUCAUUAUCUAUUACAUACUCUUUCUUGUUUGAGUUUUGGUGAGGCGUCCAUUUUUCUUGUUUACUAGGUUCAUCAACCUGUUCCAUGGACAUCAGUAGUAGCAGUGUACAUUUGUUCCAUGAUGUUGACAGAAGGUUCAUGGUUUCUUUCUUCUUCAGUUACUCUUGCUUCUCCUUCACCCAAACUUUCUAGUGCUUCAGCGACAAUCUUUUCUACUAAUUUGCAGUUUCAAAUAAUUCAUCUUUCUCAUCAGUUUCUUUUCCAGCAUCAGCACAACUUACUCUAUCUUCAGCACCUUUGAUUAAGCAGCCAUAUCAGUUUCAUCAGUAGAUCAUUGCAAGUGUUCCCCCUUAUUGUGUGCUUCCUCAAUUUCCUCUUUUGGUGUAUAUACUUUCAAUUCACUUAUAGAGGUCACUACAUGGGCUUCCCCUAUUUCUUUAUGAUCUAAAUUUUUGAAGUAACCACUGGGUUUAUUUGUUCAAGAGGUUCUGUGUGAUAGGUUCCUUGUAAUUCUGACAUCUAGCACACUAAACUUUUACAUUCUUCUUCGCUUAUUUCAAAUAGGCCACCAGGAGUCUCUAGAACAUCAAUGUGAUCAGAGAAGGAUGCCAUGGAAGGGUCAAAUUGAGAGUUAUCUGAGGGGAUUGGUUCAUCUGUGCGACAUGCCUUUGCUUUGGUUGUCUUAGGGAUUUGGCUUCUGGCAUGGGAGUUCUAAGUUUCAGUUGUGGGUGUCCCUAAAGUGGAUGACUCAUAAAUGUUAGGGUUUACCAUGGUGUCUGUGCUAGGAGUACUAUGAUGUAGUGGGUUGGUGGAGGUAGAUGUCUUUCAUUCCAUAGAAAAGGAGGAUGAUUCUACGAUUUUUUUUUUCAAUUGUCCGAGAGAAUGGGGAUGUUUGAAGGAAGGCUCGGUCAGGAGGAGGUCUUUGAAAUUCAAAUAAUUUGGAAGAGAACCAAUUUAUGUGGUCUGGAUGAGUUGCCCUAUGUACUUUGGUAUAUUAAGCUGGAACAGAAAAACAAUUUCAUAUGGUCUACAUAUUUGUUUAAAACAUAAGGAUGGUGCGCAUUCUAGCCCUUGAGGGAUUCUUCAUGAUUAUAUUUCAUAUCCUUGCUUCUAUUCCCCUUGUCAUUUUGCCUCCACGUUUUAUUAGGCUAAAUAGACUCCCUUUGGAUUAAUUUUCUUCCUUUAUCCUGAGAGCGAGCAGAGUUUUAAUGGUAAUUCUUCUCAUGUCCCGACCCAAUUUUUAUCCCAAAUAAACACAAUUAUUUUUCAUUUCUACGAAGAAUGAAGAGAGAGAAAGGGCAAAGCCCUAACCUCUCUCCACCGUCAUAAUCGCUGGAAAUGGCAAAAAAGCCAGACGAUUUUGCCUCUUAGUCCGUAUGUAUGCUCGUUUUGGGCAAGAUCAAUUAAUGCUCUUUCCCUCUCUCAUCCUUUCUCCACCACAGUCAACCUUUGAAGAGCUGUGAGGUGUGGAGGAGAUAGAAGGCUCUCAAGCUCCAUUCUCGACAAGGCUACCACUACAAAAGGUCAAAGCCACAAUUGCUAUCUCGUUUGGGCAAAGGCCCAACACUUUUCUUCAUCGAGUCCGAGCCCAGAACUUGAAGGCCUAACCAUGGGUGAAAAUGGUUAACUGGUGGGUUCGGUAGGCCCACCAGCCUUUCGUAUCUUUUAUUUCUUUCAUGUAUGUUGAUGUUAGCGGAUGCUUGGGAAAAUAUUUGAACCUGUAUGGUUAUAACUUAGUUGAAAUAGGCCAAACAAAGCCUAUAUCAUUUAGAAUGGAUAGGAGCUCGAAUCGUUUUCAAUCGUAGACCCAACAAAAGAUAAAUGAUAAUAUUCUCUCAAAUAAUGUGAUAAAAAAAUAACUUUUCAUCUCUUCUUACAAAAGCUGAAACUGGAACGGUAUAAGAUAUUAUUUUUGAGAAAGGUCAACUUUUUCCUAAACUUGAAAUUUUAGAGAUCUGGGAAUACAAUGGAUAUUUUUGGAAAAAAAAUGCAACUCUUUUAAACUCAAGAAUUUUCAAAAAAAAAAAAAAAAGAUAACAGAAAAUCUGGUUUCAAAAGAACAAAUGUUAUUGAGAUGGACCUCAAAUGAUUUCAAGUUAGCUAAAAUAUUUUCCAAACCCUUUUGGUACAAGCUCACUUUAAAUCGAAAUUCUACUUGUAUCCAAGUUAAAGGAAAAGGUUUGAAAUGGAGUAUGGUUGACCUUCACCUAAUACAAAAAUUUGAAAAGCAUUUGAUAAACUUUUAUAACUUGUAUAAUUCUCAAGGUACUUUUUACAAAAGGAGAUACAUUUGGACCAAAAAUUAAGUGGAACUCUACUCAAGAGAAAUCUUGGGUGUGUUUUGGUCCGGAAAUGAAAUGACCAUUUCAAAAACCUUAUAUGCGUUUUGCAAAAGGAACUUAUCUUCUUCUUUCAAAUAAAGCAAUUUUUGCCAAAAUGUUUCAAAUGAUAUGCCAUGACAUAAUAUACAAGAUUUUAAACUACUUUAAGCAAAUAAUUACAAAUCACAAAUUGAUUUUUUUUAAUCAAAACUACCAAGCAGAUUGCCUGAUAGUGCUUUAUUAAAAAACAAGUUCUGUACAAAAGCUAAAAUGCAGAAAAUAAAGGGAUAUAAUACAUGAAUCCAAACUAAAGGAAAUCUAAAAGCUUGUCUAUUGAAAAUCCUUUUGUCUUGACUUGAUACCAUGUUUACACCUCAAGCUCUCACCAGGUGCUAUGAAUCCACAGUCCAUUGAAUUAAAAUUCGGGCUUCAAGGAUAGAAUAGAAUUCUUUCAGAAAGUUCCUCAUGUUCAGCUAUUUCUAUGAUUGUUCUAGACCUAUGUAGUGUUGACUUUUUCCUUCAAGAAUGAUUGUAUAAAAAGAUCCUUUGGACAUGUGACAACAGAAUGAGCAUGUAAUCACACUAAUACCAUUUUUGUAACCUGUCCAAAAGUCCAUCUAUUCAAUCUGCUAGAAAUGAUCUAGGCAUGAUUACUGCAGUUUUUACAUCCUGCAGAAUCCUUAUUACAUGUGUUAAUCUCCGGGAAUCUGAUGAUCUUUGGCUUGCCUGAUUCUGAUGUAUGGCAUCUGUGCUUUUUUCAAUAUUCAAAAUCUGUCUUGCUUUCCUUGGAAGUGAUUGGUAACUAUUGAAAUGAUGUUCACCUGCAAAAUAAAAAACAAAGUUAGUCAAAAAAUCUGCCAAUCCAUUUCCUUCCGUCAGUACAUGCUCCACUCUCACUUCCUUAUCCCUCCUCAACCUUGUAAUAUCCUUUAUGAUAAAAAAUAUACUCCAUGGAACUUCCCAUUGUCCUAUCAAGAUCAUUUUAAGAGUCAUUAAAUCAGUCUCCAAGAUUAUAGGCAAUAGAUCAUUUGUCACACAGUAUUUGAUCCCCUUCUGUAAAGCCAUUGCUUCAGCAACUAAGUUUGAUCCAUAUGAUAUUCUUCUAGCUGCAACAUGCAUCAUGUCGCCCUCAAUGUCCCUAAUACAAAAUGCCACUGAGCUUGGCACUGGAUUGCCUCUAGAGCACCAUCUGAGUUACACUUAAACCACCCUGGCAUAGGAAAAUUCCAUCUCACUAUCUUGGUCACUAUAUAUGGUCUGUAUGUUUCAAUCAUCUGCAUAAUCCGUGGAAGAGACUUUGGUACUUGCAUUCUUGGAGAAAAAAAGGUACCAUACUGAGUAAAUAACCUUUGUUUUGUGUUUUGAUUGAACUGUUAGAUCUGUAUCGUAAUUUCGGAACUAUAGUAACAAGAAUCGUCUCAUUUCGUCUUCGUAUGACUGAGAUAUGGCCUUUUUUCUAAAUUUUGUGGUAGAUUUUCUGGUGAAAAUGACGAUUUUGCCCCUAUGUUCGCCCUUAAAUUUCUACAUUCCUUCAAAACUUGAAACAUCAUAUCUCUCUCAUUUUAAGGCCAAAUUGGGUGAUUAAAAAGGCUAUCUUGGGUGAAAAGUGAGCUUGGGGAUCAUUUAGCACCUGAUUUGGGGUUGGAGCUGUUACGUUUUUUCGUUAUUUGUUUCGGGACUUCUUUUCACAAGUUUGGGAGCUCCGUUUGAGGUGAUUUUCACGGUGUUGUUCUCGUGUAAUUGAGGGGGUAAGUAUAUUGUUAUAUCUCGGGUUUUCGCACAUUUGGAAAAUUAGAAAUAAUCUUGACUUGUAAGAAAUAAAGUCAUAAUUGAUUCCAUCUAACGCAUGAGUUGUUUUUGAAAGAAUAUUAAUGUGAAAGGGUCGAGGGAGGCUAAGGGCAAAACGUGGAAUUUUGGAAAUUAGUUUCGGGAAUUACAAAAAUAAAAUUUGUAGCCAAUUGGGCUUGUAAAAUAAGAAGCAAAUGAGGCCCAAAUCAAGGGGGGGGGGGGGGGGGGGGGGGUGGCCGGCCAACAUGGCCUUGGCCCAAACCCAUUUAAGUAGUCAUGUGCUUGGUCAUGUGACAAACAAGACAAAAGGGGAUAAGUCUUCAUCUGUUCAAGAAAAUUCAAGAAACAAAUCAAACAAGCAAAGAGAGAGCAAAAAGUAGAGGGUUCGGCCAUGUCCAUGAUUUUUCACCCCUCAAAAAUCUUGUUCUAAAAAUUGUUGUCUUGUGAUUUUCCUACUAAACUAAGUGCCCUCUUAAACUUGGUGUAGUUGUCUUGGAGGAAGAAGCACUUGGAUCCUCAAUUUGAUCACCUAUUCAAGUGAAGAAGACUAGGGAAAAAGAUUUUCGACGAAACGGAGAGUGAGCUUGGAUAGGCUUAAAAAGCUCAAAAGGUAUGUAAAGCUACCCCGAUCCUUCUUUUGGCAUGCCUAAGUGUAUUAGGAUCGAAUUCGGGCCUCGAAAGACUUUCUGCCCCUUGGAAUCCGCAAGUGAAAAUAUCACUUUUUCUUUCAGUAAGAUUGAACUCUUUUGGUAUGUUUUCUUGGAAAUUAUGCAAACCUUCUCUAAACUCCUUGGAAAGCUACAGAAUGUCCGUAGAACCUUUAUAGGUGAUCCAAUAAGCUUAAAGGGCGUAAUUUGGACCCAUCGUCUUGCUUGUCCCGAGGUGGGCCCACUAUUCCCGGUUUUGCCCUUAAUGUACUUAAGUCUUCUUUUCGAAUAGUUCUUAAAAGAAACGUUUUGACUACCAUUCUAAUUACCUAACAAACGUUGUUUUAAAUAUUCCAUUAAGUCUGAUAAAUUGUUUUGAUACUCGAAACUCAUUUACUAUGAUUCCUUCCGACUUCAUUGGAUCGGUUUGUCUUUGAUAUGCCUCAUCGAGUCGAUGGAAACAUUCAUGAUAUUUUAAUUGCAUUAGUCUCUCACUACUCCAUUCGUGGAUGCCCCAAUGUUUCCCACACUGAGCCCGGGCCAGGAUAUGUUGUCAAGCGUGAUCCUUUGCAUUGUUCGCCGUGCCUCGAUGUGAGGGGGCAGGUAUACGCGUACAUGGGUUUGUGGAGUAUGCUGUGCCAUGUACGCUUGUUCUGAUAUGAUUUACUAUGGCCAUCUGAUAUGACAUAUUAUGUUAUGGGGUUAUGCCCCUAUUCUGAUUCUUCUGUGUUGUGGCACCAGCGUCGGGAGGGUGGCCACGUUCUGUCUGCCGAGUCCCUUGGCAGGGGCCGGAUUGGAUAUGACAUAUGUUUCUGUACACACUCCGCAUGUUUUGAAAAUAUAUAUCUGAUACUUUGUAUUUUCUGUUUACUUUCUGUACGUUCUAUACCAGUUAUGAUUUUGUUUCUGCAACUCAGGCUUUAC